Long non-coding RNA from Triticum dicoccoides, 2537 nucleotides. RefSeq lists it as uncharacterized. The record is from RefSeq and is a predicted model, not a curated record. The transcript has 5 exons. NCBI's taxonomy places the organism in Eukaryota, Viridiplantae, Streptophyta, Magnoliopsida, Poales, Poaceae.
CAGGAAUGAAUGUUCUAGGGUUGGAGCAGAGGGGGUUGGGCAGCAGUUGAGCAUAGGCAUGAAUUUAUAGAUUCAAGAUUUUCUUACACAUGGGGCUUAUUCUCCUAAUGUUUCUAGGUCGCUUUGGAGGCUGAUAUCAGGUGGCUACUCAUGUCUGGCUUGGUGCCUAUAUUUUAGAUGUUCCAUUAAUCUUGGCUACUUUUCUCAUCCGUUUUGGGCUUUAACCUUGAUCUAGAAGGUUGCAGCUUCUUUGUUCUCCUACUCAAGAUUUGUUCAUUGUUCAGUUCAAGCCAUGUUCCUCAGGUAUCUUCCUUUACAUUUUCUUUAAGUGAUGGUCAGUUGAUCUAGCCAAGGGCUUCUCUAUUGUUCAUGGUUUACUGGAAUAUGUUUUGCUUGGCUAACAAAAUAGUAGGCAUGUGUGUGAGAUUACUUCUCGGCAAAUCUAACAUAAGAUUCUAACUUUAAUUCCAAUUUGUUUUUAACUCUCAUAAGCUAUUUUUGUUGUUAAGUGUUGCUGGAAGUUUGAACUUGCAAAGAGAACAAUUGAAAACUUUACCACUACAAUUAUAUUUACCGACUAUAAUGGUAACUGGGGGAUAAGCAUCCUAAGACAUUUGUACCAAAAUCCUUGGGCGUGCCUAUAUGUUCUCUCUAUUUUAGAGUAUGAUGCCCUCAACAAUUGGAAGAAACAACAUGUAAAUCAAUUUAUAAUUAUAAAACCAUGUGAGUUGGAUCUCCAUUUUCAGUUGGCGGCUUUUCUUAAACAUUCAUACUUUUGAAAGCUUCUACAAGACUCUCCUUAGACCAUUCAGCACAUGUUCUGUAACCCAGAGCAAGUGCAUGGAUACCCUAUACUCCAACAAGAUAUUAUAAGAAUGCAACUAAAAGGAAAAUAACAUCUCUCCAGAAACAGAAUUUUCCUCAAAUCAUUUCUCGAGAUGCCCUCUAACUUAUGUUGCGUUUAUGACUGAAUCGUCUUUUCUUUAAGACUAGCAUGUUAUCAGCCUUUGGCAUCUUUAAUCUUCAAUGCAGAAGAUCAAGAUCAAAUUUGAUCGUAGCAAACACAAAUGAACACAAUAAAAAAGUUGAUGGUAAAAUUGUUCAUUGUCUGCCAUAUUAUAUUUGUUAUAAGUAAUAGUAGAAACUAGUAAUUAAUUCUAUAUAGAUUCAAUGAAGUAUGGAGAACAUGUGCUUGGGAGGGGAUUUGGAAAGAUUAGUUAUGGCGCGUUCUUGUUUUACUUAAUAGUCUUCGGUUUUAUAAUUCAUAGCUCUGUGUAGUGUGUACACACUAAUAAAGGAGGAUCACAUUUUGUUAUUCCUUCUUUAAAUAAUUAUGAGUGAGUUGCAUUCUAUUGGUUCACUAAACUAACCUUACUGAUUGUUUCCAUACAGAAAUAAACCCUUUUGGUCAUUGUAGAUGUGUACUGUUGUAACAAUGCAUGUUAGCUAUAGUUGUUAUAUAAUUCUUUUUAUAAAUCUUGACUGAAUCGAGAUAUCUUCUCCAGGAAAAUCAUUUUUUCUUCACUUCCAGGGCCAGCGUCACUCAACUUUGCUUGGAGCAUGCUUAUUUGUUUCUACAUUGCCUUUGCUUAAUAUUUUCUCUUGAUUUCCUAUGUGAUUGAGAUGCGUGCCUAUCUUGACUGUUCUAUUGUGUUGGAAAUUUCUCGCCACUGGCCCAUUAUAACUGCUAUUGGUCACGUACCUGGUGCACUUCUAAUUUUGAAUUGUGCUUGCUGAGUGCCCUCAUUUUGUUUACUACCUUCCGUUGGUGUAUAUGCAACUGUAUAGGUUUGUUGUUCAAUCUGGUUAUAGCUUUAUUCUCCUAUUUUCUUACUCAUUGCCACAUUGUCUUAGUUAUUACUCCCUCCGUUCCUAAAUAUGUCUUUCUAUAUAUUUCAAUAUGGACUACAUACGGAUGUAUAUAGAUGGUUAAUAAACCUCCUACAUGUUAUUGAAGAUUGGUCUCUUGCUCUUUUUUGCUUAUGAAUCAUACACUUCUCGUUUCUUCAGUACUUACACCUAGCUUUGGCCUCAUCCUUUGAUGGUUUGUGUAGUAAAAGUGGUGAUGAUGUUGCUUAAAGAGCCUCAACUUGCAGCAAAUAUAUGGGCAUGUGCAACUGCAACUUAUGUAGGCCAAUUUAUUCUCUAUUGUUUUUAUUUAGAAGUUUCUCCAUGAUGGUACUUUCAACCUGGAAACUUGAAAAAGAAUCAAGGCUUUUGUUCUAUGGGCAGCCCUCCGUCGAAUGAAGCUCCAACCCGAGCAAGGACAUGGUAGCAGGUGGUGUAUCUGUUUAAUGUGUGUUAGAAGAGGCGAGCGCUUGGUUGAUGUUGUAUGCACAUUCUGUAAAAUAGAUUUUUCAAUAAAGCUUUGACAAUUUGUUUGUUGUCAUCUCUUUUUCAAAUAGUAUAUCAUCUUCUGGUUGUUUAAUAUGUAUUGUAGAGUCGAUGACUAUCCAAACUAUUCUUUGUAAACCAACAAGAUUGUGAAUCGCUAACCACAUCUUCUAAGACAAUCAUGAAAUACUUUGUUGGGUCUA